Molecule: long non-coding RNA, 1036 nt
Filed under: Callithrix jacchus (white-tufted-ear marmoset)
Lineage: Eukaryota; Metazoa; Chordata; Mammalia; Primates; Cebidae
Description: lncRNA (ENSCJAG00000075912.1)
Source: RNAcentral
AAUGAUGAAAGAAAAUUGCUGACCCAUGAAUUCUGCUUCUAUGUUUUAGGAAGAGAUACUGAACCUCAAAUUUGCUGUUUUUGCACCAAGUGCAAGCCUUAUUACCUGCAGAAAGUAGUGCCAAUAUUGUGGAGAAACAGACACAGGAUUUUAUUAUGUGAAUGACUGACCUGCAAUAAAAGAUUCAGGCACAGCCUCAUCAGGCAUCGACAGUUACAGUGAGGACAUUGACUGGACAAGAAUAAGGUCCUACAAUUUGUACUGGGGACAUGUGAGAAAACCCCAAUAAACCUGGGAACACUGAAUAUGCAAACUCUGAUAAACUAAUUUAUUUAUUUAUUGCCAGAAAAAAACAGCUUUCUACUCUUCAAAAGAGGCAACAUCCCCUAUCUGACCCAUGCUGCCAUCAGCCUUUCCAACUCUGAAGGGAUAAAUGCUUCACUGACUGAGGCAACAGUGAUGGACUCCCCUGAAGCAAUUUCUGGCAUUGAAUAGUAAUAUAAUAAUUGUGGAGAAAAAGCAAGGUUUAUAUUGGUAGGAGUUGUGCCUUGUGGAGAAGUCUCCGGCAUCAAGAAUAGAGCCUACAGGUGCCUGUCUGUCUUCUGCUACACUUCAUCCUGCCAAUACUGUUUACAGAGAGAAACCUCCAGGCCAAUGCCAAGCUGCCUUUAGUCCUACCCAACUCCCCGAGCCUCCUGUCCUCACUGGUGCCAAAGAACUAGAGAAAACUGAGGUUGCGGAGGGCUGCUCUUCCAAAAUAACCACAACUGUCAGCACGCCAGGAAUCAACAUUAUCUUCUUCUUCUGUGGAAGUAUCUUUAUUUGUUUCAAAGGCAAUUUUAUUCAUUUCUAUCUAAUGCUAUAUAAGGUAAGUGGGAGAAACUCAUUAACUCGAAGCAUAUCAUUUUCAUCUACUGCAAAUAAGCUGAUCAUACAGUGCUCUUUGCACACAGCUUUGAAGUUUGGCUCUGACUUUAGGAUGUUUAGCAGUGUUUUCCCACAGUCACCCAGAGAGAACUUACAGAAGGGGUCAUAG